GUAUGAGAUGAUGGCAUACCAUCUUUCGGGACUGACGAAUUAUGGAGACCAUUUUUUUCUGCUGAUCAUUC
Small nucleolar RNA from Megalops cyprinoides (Indo-Pacific tarpon), 71 nucleotides. RefSeq annotates it as small nucleolar RNA SNORD2. Lineage: Eukaryota; Metazoa; Chordata; Actinopteri; Elopiformes; Megalopidae. The record is from RefSeq and is a predicted model, not a curated record. The transcript has a single exon.